Molecule: microRNA precursor, 62 nt
Organism: Gorilla gorilla gorilla (western lowland gorilla)
Lineage: Eukaryota; Metazoa; Chordata; Mammalia; Primates; Hominidae
Source: Ensembl
AGAGAAGUGGCCGGCAUGUCCAGGGCAUCCCCAUUGCUCUGUGACUGCUGCCAUCUUUCUCC